This 210-nucleotide small nuclear RNA is filed under the name Rattus norvegicus (Norway rat). RNAcentral's name for it is "7SK RNA". It matches the Rfam family "7SK RNA", at positions 79 to 331 of the family's 331-position model. Rfam says of the family: 7SK was discovered as an abundant small nuclear RNA in the mid-70s but a possible function has only recently been suggested. Two independent studies have found that 7SK RNA binds the CDK9/cyclin T complex (known as elongation factor P-TEFb). Lineage: Eukaryota; Metazoa; Chordata; Mammalia; Rodentia; Muridae. The record is from Rfam by way of RNAcentral.
CGAGGUGGCCCUGAUGUCCUCCUCACCGCUCCACGUGCAUACCCUGAAGCUACUUGCUGGGUUGAAGGCCUUCUUAAAUGACAGCCAGUGUUUGGUUAAGCAUACACAAGUGACUGUGCUUCCCAGUUGGAACCUCCAGACAAGCUCUCAAGGUCCGUUUGUAGGAGGGUGUCCAUUUGAGGCACCGAAUGUGGCAGUCUGCCUUUCUUU